This 253-nucleotide ribosomal RNA is filed under the name uncultured bacterium. RNAcentral describes it as "partial 16S ribosomal RNA". It matches the Rfam family "Bacterial small subunit ribosomal RNA", at positions 524 to 776 of the family's 1533-position model. The record is from RNAcentral.
GACGAAGGUGGCGAGCGUUGUUCGGAAUCAUUGGGCUUAAAGCGCACGUAGGCGGCUUAUCAAGUGUCUUGUGAAAUCCCCCGGCUCAACCGGGGAAUGGCUGGGCAUACUGAUAGGCUUGAGGCAGGUAAGGGCGAGUGGAACUCUUGGUGGAGCGGUGGAAUGCGUAGAUAUCAAGAGGAACGCCGGUGGUGAAGACGAUUCGCUGGGCCUGUCCUGACGCUGAGGUGCGAAAGCCAGGGGAGCAAACGGG